UCGAUUCGAAAUUAUUUUUCUGCAACUUCAUCAUUCAAUAUCUAAUAAUUAAUCAAACAACAUAUCAUAAAUAAUGAUGGCAACGUGGUUUAUCUUUCUUGAAACGGCUCACAACAUAAGUCAUUCUUCCCCUUCUACAUUUUGGUGAUCGAUUUUCUUGUUGAAGGACUCUUUUAUUCACUCCCAUUUCAUCUGAAAUUAAAAAAUAAAAUAAAAAAUAUGAUGAAAGUCUAAUUAUGAUGUACUCCCUCCGUCCCAAAAUAUAAGCAUGAAUAAAUGUGAGAAAAAAAUGGACAUUAAAUAUGGAGUAGUUCACUUACCUGUAUAGUGUUCAGAAACGAUAGGAAUGUUCCUUGUUAAUACUUUGGUAGAAAAACUCAACAAACAGAGAAAG
RNAcentral lists this long non-coding RNA (394 nucleotides) under Trifolium pratense (red clover). Its description in RNAcentral is "long non-coding RNA (TPRA_LNC002113)". The record is from RNAcentral. Lineage: Eukaryota; Viridiplantae; Streptophyta; Magnoliopsida; Fabales; Fabaceae.